RNAcentral lists this ribosomal RNA (380 nucleotides) under uncultured eukaryote. RNAcentral's name for it is "partial 18S ribosomal RNA". It matches the Rfam family "Eukaryotic small subunit ribosomal RNA", at positions 592 to 976 of the family's 1831-position model. The record is from RNAcentral.
CAAUAGCGUAUAUUAAAGUUGUUGCGGUAAAAAAGCUCGUAGUUGGAUUUCUGCAGAAGACAGCCGGUCACCUCUACGAGGUUGUAUCUGGUUUGGCUUUUGCAUCCUCUUAGGACACGGUACUGCGCUUCACUGCGCGGAUCGGGACCUAAGACUUUCACUUUGAGGAAAUUAGAGUGUUCACGGCAGGCAAUCGCCUUGAAUAUGUUAGCAUGGAAUGAUAUUAUAGGAUCUUGGUUCUAUUUUGUUGGUUUCUAGAGCUAAGGUAAUGAUUAAUAGGGACAAUUGGGGGUAUCCGUAUCACUCCGUCAGAGGUGGAAUUCUUGGAUUGGAGUGCGACGAACUACUGCGAAAGCAUUUACCAAGGAUGUUNUCAUUNA